Long non-coding RNA from Homalodisca vitripennis (glassy-winged sharpshooter), 3382 nucleotides. RefSeq lists it as uncharacterized. The record is from RefSeq and is a predicted model, not a curated record. Lineage: Eukaryota; Metazoa; Arthropoda; Insecta; Hemiptera; Cicadellidae. The transcript has 2 exons.
UUAUUCAAUAUUUAUACCAAUAUCUAUAUAGUUAUUUAUAGUAUUGAUCAAUUUCAUGUAAAAAAUACCUAUUUUAAAAAUGUAUACAUCUUAUUCUAAAUUAUUAUAGAACUUUACAAUAUUAUGCCAUAAGUGCUUUCAUUAAAAUUACUAUGCUGGACAUAAUAUCUCUUAACUCUGGUCUACAAUAUUUUGUAUGUUUUUAACAUUGAAAAUUUUAACAUUGAUUAUAAGAGUUACUCCUGGGCAUUGGUCAAAGGAGAAAAAUAAUUGUUUGUUGAUUAAAUUUGUCCCUCAACCUGACAUUGUUGCUAUGCUGUACCGGCACCACUAUUCUAAUAGAUGUGCAUAUUUUUUGUAAUAUCAUAUUUCGUAAGUAAUCUAAUUAUUGUAAAAUUAUAUACCGAUUUAUUUCAAAAAAAUGUGGGCUACAAUAUAUUAAUAAUAAAUUAUGGUUUCCAUGAAAUCAGAUUUUUUUAAACCAACAAUUUUAUAAGUUUUAUUGUUAUACUUUCAAAAUAGUUUUGUAAAUAUUUCAUUGUGGGAUGAUUUAAUGGUAUGUUUUGCUAUAAUAUUUUGGUUAUAUAAAUCUUGUGCUGAUCCAAGAAACAUAUAGGUAUCCUAACUUAUCUAAAUAUUUGUUUUUUACAUGGCUUUUCAUAAAUGCACAGUUAUGUUCUCGUCAAACAUGUAAAAAGCCUUACAGCUCUCUCAUGUCAACACACAUCAUGGAACAACAUCUGUGUUUAUUUAAAUAAGUAUGAAAAUUAACUGCUAACUUUGAAAUCUUACAUUAUUUAUAUGUUUGCACUAUAUAUUACGUAUAAAAAAGCUUUCUAAGACUACUCGAUAUAUCUGUCAAAUUUUCACUCAUAACACACAAAAAUUAUUCUUACAGGAAUUAUAAAAGACUGUAAAGUAUCAUUGUACAAAAUCUAGCAGAUUCAAAACACAAACACUCAUAAUCACACCUUGUGUAUGAUACACAACAAUAACAUGGCUGACCCAUAUUACGUUAGUGAAACAACAGCUGUCCAUAGAGAACACUGUAUUUUGUGGUGAACAAAGUGAACGAAGAAUCUAAGAAUAACAAUAAAUCGAUACUAUGUCUGAGGUGUUUUUGAUGUGUAGUGUGUUGGUGGCUGGAAACUGCUGUUAAAAGGACAUCAAAGGAUAUCGAGUUUUGACAUUCCUUAAGUCUGUGAACACCUUAAACUUGUCAAAGAUUGAUUUUUGUCAGCAUCAGAGUUAUAUGAAAAUAUUCAUAUAAAUAUAGUUGACCCUUUCAGUGUCACAUCCGUUAGUAGUAAAAAAGGUAUACAAAAUGUCUUUUCUGUAAGAUCCAAGCAGACUUAGAAGCGCUGUAAUGUUAAGCAAUAGGUAAAAUUAUAUUUGUGUACUUAAUAUUCUCUGUACUUAAUUGUAAAUAAUUAGAUGAGUUGAAUUAUUAAUUUAAAAAUUGAAUUUGUUAUCAGUAUAAAAACUAUUUUGUGGUGUAUGAAUUUAGUAUUUUGGUAACUAAAUUAAUACAACACUAGUUUAAUAAGUUGAUCAGUUUUUCUUAUUGUAUAUAACCUAAAUGCCAUAGUAGUAUCUUCAGAGGGCCAUAAUAGAUUUAUUUUCAAUACAUUGCUAAACAAUAUUAUACCAAUAAUUGGUGUAAUAAUUAUUAUUUUCGUAAUAGCAGACUUAUAAACAGGUUACUAUAAUUAUAUAUAUUUUACUUCAAGUAUAAUAAGUUAAACGAAUUUUCCGCUUGUUACAGAAAAUAUGUGUAAGUGGGAAGUGUGAAAGUGGUUUAUUCAUUUUCAUCUUCAUUAACUUUUAAAAUAGUUAACCUCUGUACAUAAAAUGCACCUAAUAAUACUACACUUUGUACUGUGGAAAAGGAGUGGACAUAUACUAAAAUUAUCAGUAUAAAAAAGUCAUACAUUAAAAAAAAUUAAAAUUUCUCUAAAAUUUUAUGCGGUCUUAGUGACACAUAUAUAUAAACCAAAUAUAAAUAUUACAAUCUACAAUACAAAUCACAAUAUAAACAUUAAAGUUGUUUAAAUUUUUGUGGAUUCAUAUAUUUCUGAGACCUUUGUCUUCAUUCAAAUAUGGCAACUGUUCAAAUUUAUUCAAACUUCACAACUCCGUUAUUUAUGGAAAUAGAGAACAAUUUUAAAUUGUUUUGGAAUACUUAUAAUAUUUCAUAAACCUUUUGUUAUAAAAAGAUUUUUAUCUUAAACGGUUUUCAAGAUAUCUAAUACGUAAAAAAAAAAAAUACAUGUAUAUCCCAUAUCAAUUUUUCGAUCAACAAGAAGUAACUGGCAAAAGAAAUGCUGAAAAAAAUUCACACUUGGUAGAAAAAUUGGCUAAAUUCAGUGGCCAAUAGAACCAUUUCGUUCCAAUAUGGCGGGCAUUCUAAUUAAAAAAACAUGAGUAGUAUUAUUCUAAUCUCCCUUAAUUAGUUACUUAUUCCCAAUAAGUAAGAAGGACUAUAGUAUUUUGAUUUUAAAAUAUGGAUGCAGCUUUUACUUUUAUACCACAAUGCUGUUUUGUUCAAUUUUGGCUUUGAAUAGUGAUAUGUUACUGGUUGGGAUAUCUUCCACUUUUACAUUUUGUUAGAAAAGACAAAAUAAUUAUAACAUAGCGUUAGUGUGAAAACAUAAGCAACAAAUCUUGGAGUAGAAGCUAAAAUGCCUUAACAUCUGGUGAGCUAGCUUACAUUAAUUAUAGCUUUUACUAAAAUAAAGCUAAAUGUACUACUGAUUUCAUUGUACAUUGUAUUUUGUAAGUUAAAAUGAACGGUUUCUCAUAUUAGAUCAUUGAAGUGUCCCCUAUUUUCAUUAUUUUAAAAUUGAAGUUACUUAUAUGUAUCUAUUAUAGGAUAGGAUUACAACUACGAACAAUUAAAUUAUCUUAUUUUCCCCACCGCCACUGUGUACCUUACAAGAGUAUUGUACUAACAUUGUUAACAUAACCCUCUCACUCAAUGGGCCUUCAUUAAAUUUAAAUUCAAUAAGAUAUUGAAUUUUAAUUGUAGAACUAAUGAAUAAAAUGAAUAUUUAUGUAAAGUGUGAUUGAUUGUAUGAGAGUCUGCCAUAGCUUAUAAAUAUACCUUUUGUUUUGUUUAUCUUAAAAAUAUGUGCUUCGUCUCUUUAAUAUUACAUUAUAUUAGACAUAUGUAAAAAUUAGUGAUAUGGUAAGUUACUUAAUUUACCAUCCUAGUCAAUGCGACUGUUGUUAUUUGUAAAUAUUGUUAAAUCUGUAAAUUUAUAUUAUAAUAUAUUUUGUAUGAAUCGUAUAGAGUUCUAUAUAAUAAGACAUUGUACGUAUUGUUUUAUGUUUGUGAAAUUGUGAGAGUGUAAUGAAAUAUAUUUAAGUUUCAAUAAAAUGA